GGAGUUAGCCGGUGCUUCUUCUGUGAGUGAUGUCCUUCCUGCCGGCUAUUAACCCGCAGGCCUUCUUCCUCACUGAAAGUGCUUUACAACCCGAAGGCCUUCUUCACACACGCGGCAUGGCUGGAUCAGGGUUGCCCCCAUUGUCCAAUAUUCCCCACUGCUGCCUCCCGUAGGAGUCUGGGCCGUGUCUCAGUCCCAGUGUGGCUGAUCAUCCUCUCAGACCAGCUACGGAUCGUCGCCUUGGUGAGCCGUUACCUCACCAACCAGCUAAUCCGACAUAGGCUCAUCCGAUAGCGCGAGGCCCGAAGGUCCCCCGNUUUCCCCCGUAGGGCGUAUGCGGUAUUAGCCUGGGUUUCCCCAGGUUAUCCCCCACUACCGGGGCAGAUUCCUAUGCAUUACUCACCCGUCCGCCGCUCGCCACCAGGGAGCAAGCUCCCCGUGCUGCCGCUCGACUUGCAUGUGUAGCNGCCGCCACGCGUCAUCUGAGCAGAUACAACUACUGA
Molecule: ribosomal RNA, 503 nt
Filed under: uncultured bacterium
Lineage: Bacteria
Description: partial 16S ribosomal RNA
Source: RNAcentral